GAAUUCCUACGGGACGCAGCAGUGGGGGAUAUUGCACAAUGGGGGAAACCCUGAUGCAGCGACGCCGCGUGUGGGAAGACGGUCUUCUGGAUUGUAAACCACUGUCCCCAGGGACGAAAAUGACGGUACCUGGGAAGGAAGCUCCGGCUAACUACGUGCCAGCAGCCGCGGUAAUACGUAGGGAGCAAGCGUUGUCCGGAAUUACUGGGUGUAAAGGGAGCGUAGGCGGGGAUGCAAGUUGGGUGUCAAAACUACCGGCCAAACCGAUAGUCGGACUCAAAACUGCAACUCUUGAGUGAAG
This 301-nucleotide ribosomal RNA is filed under the name uncultured bacterium. RNAcentral's name for it is "bacterial SSU rRNA". It matches the Rfam family "Bacterial small subunit ribosomal RNA", at positions 333 to 651 of the family's 1533-position model. The record is from RNAcentral.